AUGUUCUCCACGUCCCUACUCCUACUGCUGCUGGCAGCCAUAGACUGUGUUCAGUGUCUUGAGCUGACCCAACCUGGAUCCUCAGUAGUAACCCCUGGUCAGUCACUACCUCUGACCUGUAAAGUGUCUGGAUAUUCCUUAACUGAUAGCAGCUACUGUACAGGCUGGAUACGACAACCUGCAGGAAAAACUCUGGAGUGGAUUGCAUUAGCAUGUGGUAGUGGUAACAAUUACCACAGUGAUAAACUGAAAAGCAGGUUUCAGAUUUCCAAAGACACGUCCAGCAGCACAGUAACAUUAACAGGACAGAACAUGCAGACUGAAGACACAGCUGUGUAUUACUGCGCUCGUAGACCACAGUGA
Clarias gariepinus (North African catfish) is the source of this 363-nucleotide non-coding RNA. Lineage: Eukaryota; Metazoa; Chordata; Actinopteri; Siluriformes; Clariidae. The record is from the annotation of a RefSeq genome assembly.